Molecule: signal recognition particle RNA, 100 nt
Filed under: Oscillospiraceae bacterium
Lineage: Bacteria; Bacillati; Bacillota; Clostridia; Eubacteriales; Oscillospiraceae
Description: signal recognition particle sRNA small type
Rfam family: Bacterial small signal recognition particle RNA
About the family: The signal recognition particle (SRP) is a universally conserved ribonucleoprotein involved in the co-translational targeting of proteins to membranes. Archaeal SRP consists of a 7S RNA and homologues of the eukaryotic SRP19 and SRP54 proteins. In most bacteria, the SRP consists of a 4.5S RNA and the Ffh protein (a homologue of the eukaryotic SRP54 protein).
Source: RNAcentral
CCGCAAGCCCCGCGCAAGGCUGCCCCGCGAACCAUGUCAGGCGGGGAACCGAGCAGCAUUAAGCGGUAAGCGGCUUGUGUUGCGGUUCAGCUUGCGGUUG